AUUGAACGCUGGCGGCAUGCCUUACACAUGCAAGUCGAACGGCAGCACGGGUGCUUGCACCUGGUGGCGAGUGGCGAACGGGUGAGUAAUACAUCGGAACAUGUCCUGUAGUGGGGGAUAGCCCGGCGAAAGCCGGAUUAAUACCGCAUACGAUCCACGGAUGAAAGCGGGGGACCUUCGGGCCUCGCGCUAUAGGGUUGGCCGAUGGCUGAUUAGCUCGUUGGUGGGGUAAAGGCCUACCAAGGCGACGAUCAGUAGCUGGUCUGAGAGGACGACAAGCCACACUGGGACUGAGACACGGCCCAGACUCCUACGGGAGGCAGCAGUGGGGAAUUUUGGACAAUGGGCGAAAGCCUGAUCCAGCAAUGCCGCGUGUGUGAAGAAGGCCUUCGGGUUGUAAAGCACUUUUGUCCGGAAAGAAAUCCUUGACUCUAAUACAGUCGGGGGAUGACGGUACCGGAAGAAUAAGCACCGGCUAACUACGUG
This 486-nucleotide ribosomal RNA is filed under the name uncultured bacterium. RNAcentral describes it as "partial 16S ribosomal RNA". It matches the Rfam family "Bacterial small subunit ribosomal RNA", at positions 30 to 507 of the family's 1533-position model. The record is from RNAcentral.